AACAGCAUCGCCCACGCGCCGCUGCUUCCCCGUCCAGCCGCCGCGUCCCCGCCCCUUGGUCCGUCGAUUUGAUUGCUCCUAGCCGGAAAUCACGCCCACUCCUUCAUCGCCGUCGGACCUCCCACGGUCAGGAUGGAUGGGAGUGAUUCCGUUUCGUGCAAUGUACACGACGUCCUCCGGGGCGUUCGACGACGGGCGGCCACUUCUGCAGUGUGCUUGCCGGGUGCCCGCGGCUAGAUUCACCUCUACUAAGCAAUCAAGCAGAGGCAAAAAAAAAUUGAAGUGCAGAGCAUCUUCGUGUUGCAAGUUGUGAUUUGUCUGAUGCCAUUCGCGAGAGGGAUGGAUCAAAGGGGCGACGCGAGCUGCAUCUUGCGCACCCCCCACUUGGAUCCGCUACCAACCCAUGAGGUGUGCUCGUGCCUGAUCCGGUCUCCACCGCCGCUCCCUCGGCUACCUGCAGCGCGGAGCCUCCAGCUUCGGAACAGUCGCCCCGUCCUCGACCUCCAGCCUGCCUCUAUUUUCAGGAGGGCGCCCGUCACCACCGGCCGCCCGGGUGCAUCCACCGCUCGGUUUAGCUGGAUUUUUCAAGUGCUUGACGACCUCAUAUUUCUCAUGGAUUUGGGAGGAACUCGGAUGGACUUCGUCAGUGGUCUGCAGGGCUGGACGAGGGCACCCAUGGCACAGUUGUUCCGGAAACCUUGACAUCGUAGAAACCAUAAGGCGUCCAGAAACUAACUGCCAAUCAAUUUCAUGUGAAUUUUUUCCUGCAGAAGUUAGUUCUGAAAUGUAGACCGUGAUUCUAGUUCCAUGUAUUUAUGUCUGUCCAAAACGUGCCCUCGCUUUCAACCUUGCUAAAUAUUUUGAAUCACCUCUAUGCACUACCCUUGAUGUCAGUUUUCUGUGCUUGCCAAACGUUUUAGUGAUAAUUACAUUUUACAUGCCGAGGUGUCAUGUUUGUUGCUGCAGAACUUAUAAUUUGGUCGCAUUGGACUAGGCCUUUGUAAACCUGGUCUCUGAAUAUGUUGCUUGCUUCUUCAAAUUACAUUAUAAAAGAGAUUUAGGUAUCAUUUUUAUAGUUGUUUUCUCUCAAUGCACGUUAAGAACAAAGAUAUUGCUUCAAAAGCACCCGUGUGUGCUACUCGUUUCUAGUUGCAUGGAAAUCUUAAGCAUACACUUGAGUUGUGAUGAGUUUUCUCCUAGACAUCCUGUGUAAGAUCUUGACACAUUUGACAUUGUAUUUGCACAUCCUUCGUCUGCCUUCUUGUUUUUGAUGCAUGGCGGAUGCUGCUUGAUGGAUUUUUCUUCAGCGCAACAUUUGUCUCCAACUUUUUAUUUCAGUUUACGACAUUCUUAAGAUUCACAUGUUCCAUUUUCCAAUUUCUUUCUUGGUUAAUUUGUUUUGUUCAUUUCAGUCAUGUCUAUGUAUUUGUGUAUUAGACGCCUAUUCCUUUUCCCUAUCUAUGGUUGUGUUCCUAUGGUUUAUCUCUAGGUGCUUGAUAAGUUACGACGCGUUGCCUUACACUGCUGGCAUCCUUUUGGCUGUAGGUCAUAUUCUUGAAGCAAAUGAUCGCGUGGUUGUUUGCAAGGCAUGAACAAUUAUUCAGGUGCUGGAAUCUUACAUCCUGUAGGAACCGAAUAAGUUGAAUACUAUUUGAGUAUUUGUAGGCACUAAAUAUUUAAGCACAUUAGCUAGUUCUUAGCCAAAUUAAACCUGUAGUUGACUCAUUAGCAUGUCGAUAGGAUGCACUGGUAGAUGCAAGGUUCUCUAAAUGGACACUAAAUACUUUUCGUUGAGCUUAUGUUGGAAGUUAGUGAUUCGACCUAGGUACUACUAACUCCGAGAAGGGAUCGACCUUGGUUCAAACAUUUUUCAGUAGCGGUGUUUAACAUGCCGGAUCAACACUCUGAACCUUAUAAAUGAAUACUUCUUGAGUAUCAUGAUUCUGUUUCUUUUGUUCAGUUGAAGUAGGUCCGAUAACACUCUGAACCCUAUUGAUGAUUUGGGUGAUAAUCCCAUGGAUUUUGUCUGUUGUUCUCAAUAUGUCAGUCGUGACUGAAAAUGAACCUGAGUGAGAGCACCCAAAAUCAUGUAUGAAUUUUUUCUCAUUCGAAAUUGCCAAUGCAAAGUUGGUUCAUGCUCCGAUUCCAUUUCAUGGUCGUCUUAUUCUUGAAUGAACACAGGUGCUUAACAAUUCAGUGUGUGGUGCCGAUUAACAAUUUAGCACCAAGUUCAUAUUCAUCAGGUACAUAUGAAAGUACGUAACCAUUAGGCUACUGGUACUUGCUGACAGGUGCUAAGAUACAUAACCAUCAGGCUUAUUCUUUUUGUUUACAAAGCUGCUGCUUGCACUUGGGACAACUAAUCUAAAUUACUUAAAUUAGUACUUCCAUCACAGUUCAGAGUAGUUUUCUUAAAUUAGUACUUUCAGUGCUGAAUCAUAUGUUUGAAUAUCAUGGGUACUUAACAAAUAACUCUGAGGUUCUUAUUCAGUACCUAGCUAGAGAUAAUCAAGUACCUCAAUUCAUGGGUUGUUUUUGUGGGCAACAUGGGUACUGAAAGUAAGUUUGGAUGGUGCUUGAUGACUGAAAUAAUUUCUAGAUAAAUAGAGUUACUCGGAAAAUAAUUUAAGUGAAUCCAUGAUUAACCGUCGAUGCACAGGAAAGUGAGAUAGUUCAAGCAGGGUGCUGAUUCGUAUAGGUGCUUAACAAUUUAAUCUCAGGUGCUGAAUCAAGUGGUUUCUGGUGCUGAGUCAUUGAUCUCCUGGUAAUGAAUAAUGUGUAUGGAAAUAAGAUUCAGUUUUCACAUUUCCUCGCUGUCACCUGUGUAUGUAUGCUUCAGUGCCUUAUGUACUGCUCCUGUUUCAUUGCUUGUUAAUUCAUGCAUGUAGGUUCUGCGCACUUGACUAUACUUUUACCUUUUUGAAAGACGUGACAUCGCUUCUGUUUUGUGGACUUCAGACUUCUUUAUCUCAUUUCACUGCCUGUUGAUUGUAUAAGUUUGGACCGAACGGUACUACUGAAGAUUUUUGUUCUCUGCUUCACUACUGAAGUUUGGACCGAACGGUACUACUGAACAUUUCAUUUCCUUUGGACUGAAUAUGGCAGGCCUUUAAGAAACAUGCCUACAUACAUGUAAGAUGAACCAUUUCCUUUGGACUGAAUAAUGUAGUUAUCUGUCAGUUUGUCAUAUAGUUAUGCAGGUUUCCGAUAGUUUCGAGGUCGCCCAGCCACGUGCGAGCGGCGUAUUCUUUGCAUAUGUGUUGUCUGGUUGUCCAACUUUAGUAAGCUCAUUAUGUUGCUCGCUGCUGGUGCCAAGUGCACCUUAUAUGAGUGCUUAAAUAACGAUUGCUCUGAUGUGCUUAACUUUUUGCCUGGAGGUGCUGAAUCAUAUGGGCACUUAACAAAUUUCUUUGGGGUGCUGAAUCAGUUUUGGUACUUGCAAAUUUUUUUAGAGAUUGAUGUUCUACUUGGUAUUUUGGGGUGCUUAACAAAUUUCUUUGGGGUGCUGAAUCAACCAUAUCAUGGGUGAGGGUGCUGAAUGGCAUGCCUUGUGUAUGGUGCAUAUGAUGACAGGGUGGGGUUCUUGAUUUGAUUUUGAAUGUUCUUGCAUUGUUUAUAUUAGUGUGAUCUCUGUCUAAUUCCUGAUUUGUUUCCUACUGCUACAAAGUGUUGAAGCACUAAUCUUGAACGAGUAUAUUUAAUCGUUUGCUUGAACUUUGUGUAUGUAGAUUGAACGAGUAUAUUCCAAGUACCUGUGGUGUGAAAAACGUUUGUGCCUUGUGAAUAUGGUGAUUUAGUGUUUCCGGAGUGGGUACAGCUUAUGUGAUGAAGUAAAAGUUUAGGUGCUUAACAGGUUGCUCUGAUGUGCUGCAUCGUAUGGGUGCUUAAUAGGUUGCUCAGAGGUGCUGAAUCUUACAAACUAAAGAGCUAUGACAGUGUACUGUGUUCUGUAGGGGUGCUUAACAAGUUGCUCUGAGGUGCUGAAUCGUUUUAUAGACACCCUGCAGUCAACCAUCUUUCCCAGAGCAUUACACCAAGGCAUGUCCUUUCUUUGCUCAUGGUUUUUCAUAUUGCUAUGACAGUGCUCUUUUGUGGUAGUGGUCUUUCAUCAUUCAGUACUUGAUUAUAGUUCUGUCGGUACCUGGGGUGAUACUUGAUUUGUUUGGGAACAGAUCAAGUUCUUUGGAUCACUUGUGUCACUAAAAUUAAUUGGAUGCCACUAAAGUGCACAUUCUGUUGCAGUUGACAUUUGACAGUGAUUACUUUUUAAUGUUGCUCUAAACUAUAGAUAAAUGAUGUCAGGAGUAUUUAUACUGACUUUUAUCAUUCAGUUCCUGGAUCCAUAUCUGUCUGUACCUAGAUGACCCUUGUUUUGUUUGUGGGUGCUUAACAGGUUGCUCUGAGGUGCUGAAUCAUGUGGGUGCUUAACAGGUUGCUCUGAGGUGCUGAAUCUAACAAACUAAAGAGCUAUGACAUGGUUUUGUGACCCGUGACAGCUAUGGCACCCUAACGGUGCAAUGUUCCCGCUGGUGUUCCCAUUUGCCGGAGAAGAUGGUGCUUUGUCGAUGGAGUGUAGCAAAUUCCUCUGAUGCGCUGAAUCAUUGGUUUUCUAGUACCGAAUUGCCGGUGAAGAUGGUGCUUUGUCGAUGCACCCCUUACGCUAUAUGCACAGGUACUCAACAAGUUCAGACAUGGUGCCGAAUAAUUUGAGAAAAGCAGUUUUUUCUUGAGCUUUCUGCAGACCAUGGUAUAUUGAGCUGUAUGCACAGGUACUUGACAAGUUCAGACAUGGUGCCGAAUAAUUUGAGAAAAGCUGUUUUAUUUUGCCAUGUUGGGUCAUUUCAACGUUGGGUGCUGAACCAUGUUGUCAGCAGUGUAUGUAUACAACCAAAGUAGGGAUUUUCAAAGCCCAUUCCCUGGGAGACAGCUUUCCAUGACACAUUAGGGAUGAAUUCACGUGAAGAAAAUCGGCAUGGAUGCUUUGAGCCCAUGUGACGCCACUUCUAGGUACCGAAUCACCCUGCUUUGGCCAGCCCAUGUGAAUCUACUGGUUAAGUACCUGAACGGAUUCAAAUUUUGAAUAUUUGGCACCGAAGCCCAUGUACUGUCCACAGACAGAGUUGCAGGCGGCCCAACAGACGGUGCAGUCUGCUGUUUGCCUGAAACACAUGAUUUUUUGAACUGCACAUUUGGAAAUCGGCUGACUUCAUGCACUGUAUAGCGUGUGGCGACUGUACAUGUUUCCUUAUUUGCCUUGGGCUGACAAUGGGCAGCUUUCGUA
Molecule: long non-coding RNA, 5281 nt
Organism: Lolium rigidum
Lineage: Eukaryota; Viridiplantae; Streptophyta; Magnoliopsida; Poales; Poaceae
Exons: 4
Source: RefSeq, a predicted model, not a curated record